AUUGAACGCUGGCGGCAGGCUUAACACAUGCAAGUCGAGCGGGGUGAUGGUGCUUGCACUAUCACUUAGCGGCGGACGGGUGAGUAAUGCUUAGGAAUCUGCCUAUUAGGGGGGGACAACAUCUCGAAAGGGAUGCUAAUACCGCAUACGUCCUACGGGAGAAAGCAGGGGAUCACUUGUGACCUUGCGCUAAUAGAUGAGCCUAAGUCGGAUUAGCUAGUUGGUGGGGUAAAGGCCUACCAAGGCGACGAUCUGUAGCGGGUCUGAGAGGAUGAUCCGCCACACUGGGACUGAGACACGGCCCAGACUCCUACGGGAGGCAGCAGUGGGGAAUAUUGGACAAUGGGGGGAACCCUGAUCCAGCCAUGCCGCGUGUGUGAAGAAGGCUUUAUGGUUGUAAAGCACUUUAAGCGAGGAGGAGGCUCUUUUGGUUAAUACCCAAGAUGAGUGGACGUUACUCGCAGAAUAAGCACCGGCUAACUCUGUGCCAGCCGCCGCAGUAG
Molecule: ribosomal RNA, 503 nt
Filed under: uncultured bacterium
Lineage: Bacteria
Description: partial 16S ribosomal RNA
Rfam family: Bacterial small subunit ribosomal RNA
Source: RNAcentral